RNAcentral lists this ribosomal RNA (490 nucleotides) under uncultured bacterium. RNAcentral's name for it is "partial 16S ribosomal RNA". It matches the Rfam family "Bacterial small subunit ribosomal RNA", at positions 30 to 507 of the family's 1533-position model. The record is from RNAcentral.
AUUGAACGCUGGCGGCAUGCUUUACACAUGCAAGUCGAACGGCAGCACGAAAGAGCUUGCUCUUUUGGUGGCGAGUGGCGAACGGGUGAGUAAUGCAUCGGAACGUACCGAGUAAUGGGGGAUAACUGUCCGAAAGGAUAGCUAAUACCGCAUACGCUUUGAGAAGGAAAGUGGGGGCUCUUCGGACCUCACGUUAUUCGAGCGGCCGAUGUCUGAUUAGCUAGUUGGUGGGGUAAAGGCCUACCAAGGCGACGAUCGGUAGCGGGUCUGAGAGGAUGAUCCGCCACACUGGGACUGAGACACGGCCCAGACUCCUACGGGAGGCAGCAGUGGGGAAUUUUGGACAAUGGGCGCAAGCCUGAUCCAGCCAUGCCGCGUGUCUGAAGAAGGCCUUCGGGUUGUAAAGGACUUUUGUUAGGGAAGAAAAGGAUAGUGUUAAUACUAUUAUCUGCUGACGGUACCUAAAGAAUAAGCACCGGCUAACUACGUG